RNAcentral lists this ribosomal RNA (101 nucleotides) under uncultured bacterium. RNAcentral's name for it is "partial 16S ribosomal RNA". It matches the Rfam family "Bacterial small subunit ribosomal RNA", at positions 1379 to 1482 of the family's 1533-position model. The record is from RNAcentral.
CCUUGUACACACCGCCCGUCACACCAUGGGAGUGGGUUUCACCAGAAGCGGUGCUAACCGCAAGGGGGGCGCGUACCACGGUGAGAUUCAUGACUGGGGUG